UGCUGGGUUGCUUUCUUCUCAUGGAUUACAUACUCUGCUGCUACACUGUCCAGGAAGCAGUCACUGGCUCCGUGGGGCUACUGAACUCUAAAUACAGCUGGAACCACGACAAGCAGAAUUUUCAUUGUAUUUCACUUUAAUUAUUUCAGUUUCAAGUUCGGCAGCCAUGCCUGACUCCGGCCAUCAUUGCAGCCAGCACAGAUCUCUGUGUGUUCCUGCAGCAUUUCCUCAAAGACUGGGCUAACGUCUAGGACCGGCUUCGAAACUAAACGUGAAGGUAUCACACUGGCUUUCUCUAUUUCCCAGGUCACAUGUUGGAAAUACAGUUUCUGUGACAUCCUAACUUUUCCUGUUGCUGGCCUCCCACCUGGAAAUCAACUGGAUUGACUCUUUCCACUUCCAGGGAAGAAAUUUCAUGAGCUCAUUGGGUUAGCUGCCCACUCCAGGUCCACAGACCAUGUCCAGUAGGGUAGAGGCUCAACAUGGCUGCUUCAGCUGUGCCAACGUGAUUUGCAGGGUGCAAGACACAGAGACUAGACUGGGAGCUGUUUUUAGACAUAAGAUUGGGCUUAAUAAUCACUAGAAUAGGUGCUUACCACAGAUGGUGAAUGUUGGGUAACAUUUUAUUAAACACCUAUUUUGCAUUCAGCAUUGGGCUUGACUUCUGGGUCAGAGGACGGAAAUUCGAGGCUAUUUAUACUUCUUGCCGUAGAAAUGAAAAUGUCAUUAUGUAGUAUCUGUUAUAUGGCAGGCAAUACUGCCGACUACGUUUUGUCUCAUUUAAUACAACAAAUCUACAGGUUGGCAUGGUCAGUGAACCUCUCAGGUCCUUCAAGAGAACCAGUGGCCAGGGGCAUUGUUGAUUGACAGCUUCUAGCGGCCACCUCCUUGAAUUUGUCCCUGUGUUCACACCAGGCCUUUUCCUGGGCUGCUUGUCCCUAGCCAAGUACUCAGCCCAGUGGGUCAACAGAACAGGGUCAGCGCUGCCCUCUGAGGAUGUUCCAGUGAUCACGUUCGGCUUGGGAGUUCUCUACCAGCCGGAAGACUUUUUUGAGAACUGUGCUGUGGUGUACGGCGCGUCAGACGCACCCCGUUUCUCCUCUCACAGGUGCCGGACGCCUGCUUCCCACUUCCCUCCACCGCCUUCUUCCUUCACAAGCCUUUCCCCCCAACAAACCCCUUGCAUAUCUAGCCCAUCUUGGUGUCUGUUUCUUAGAGGACCUGAGCAGACACCUCCAUUGCCUUUUUACAGAUUAGAAAACCAAUUCAUAGAGAGGCUGGAUAUGUUUCCCAAGGUCACAUACAUACUGCUAGUAAAAGGAAAGUUCCAGAAUCAAACAUAAAUCUCUCUGACAUGAAUGCUCAUAUUCUUCCCAUGACAUAAUAUGCUUUCCACUGUAGAUGGCAAGUUUUAUGAGAACGUGCUCAUUAACUUGUGAGAUUUUUAGAAUAAUGUGUUAUGUCAAAAAGCAAUGGUAGCUGUUACUCUUCUUAUUUUUGCCUUUGUUCAUGUAUUGUGAGAAACUUGGACAGCAACUCAGCAUAGCACCUAGAAAAGCUGUGUGGCAGGUCGUGAAGAUGGCCAGGUAGCCCUCGUCACCUGCCUCCACACCCUGGCAAUGUGACACUGCACAUCUUCGCAUUGAGAAGUGGAGAGCAUUUCCGAGCCCGUGAACGGAAGUGGAGCUGGCGACCCUGGACAGUGAGCACGUAUGGGGAUACUACCCAUGUGAGCCCACAGAGGGCGGACUCAGAGAGCUAGGUGCUAAAUAGACGGUGUUGCUUUUGAGCCAGUGGAUGUUGGGUGGCUCAUUAUGUGGCGACAUACCGCUGCUGUCCGGCCAUAGCUGCAGAGAGAACGUAUUUGCAGUGGGCACUCUCGGUGGUCUAGCCAAUUAGCCCUUCCCUCUUUUUGUUAUCAUCACACUAAUGGUCUUGAGGAAUUUGGCACAGUAUAAGCUCAUAAGCCUCUCCCCAGUGCCAGCUGGGUAAAUGCUGAUUAGGAUAAGCCAAUCACAGUGAUGUCAUUUAUUUUGCUGGUGAAUAGGCAGCGGAGAUAACGCCUACAAAGUCAUCUGGGAAUUCUCCUGGAGGGACUUUUCUGGAUACAAAGCAGAAACAUGCCACAUCUGGGAUAUUGUUGUUUGAUGACGUGAUGUGUGCAGCUCUGGCAAACGACCUUCAAGCUGCAAGUUGAAAGUCAAGAGAAGCUGAUGUGGAUAACAUCUCUCAUGGUGCGUUGUUGAGCCCCCAAAUUAAACAACCCUCGAACUGCCUACUCAAGACAUCCUGUUAUGUGAAAUACUGAAUUCCCUACUGCUUAAGACUUCUCAAUCCACUAGGAUGCACUGCUGCCUCGUAGCUCUGGGAUGAGGCCCCUGGCUUCCCAUGUGUGUUCAUAAACUGCUCUGCCAACCUGGAGUCUCACCUCACUUUCUCAAGCAAGCAUAUGUGUUGCUGCAUCCUUAUUUCCGGACACCCCAGAAACCGUCUUUACUAAACGAUGGAAAAGAUGAUGUUAGAAAGCAGCUGAUCUGAGAAUCGCUUUGAUCCCUGGCAACACUCCAACGUCUGAUAAGAACUACCAGGGAGGCCCACCAAAGAAUAGGUGACUUCGAUUCACAGGCUCAGAAACAGUCUCCACUACUCUCCAAAGAGCAGAUUAUUUCCAAAAUGGCAUCCAUCCACGCGCCAUCCAGGGUGUUGCAGGAAUGCUUCUAACUUGUGAAUUUGAAGGGAGGGCCAUCUGAAAGUGAUAUCAAUGGAGCGUGGUGCCCUGGCAAACAUUGACAGAGGCCUUCAGAUGCCCUGAGUUUCCUCCUUGGGAACACCAGGUCGAUUAUGGACUCCUCAGACAACCUCACUGGGCAGUGGGCAUGCCAUAAUGGGGGAGCAUGCGGACUCAGAAGGGGGACAGUGUAUCCGUCCAUCAGCAAAUAAAUAGUCGCUGAGUGCAUGCAGGUGCCAGCAUGCAGGCUCUGCGUCUUUAUGAUCAGAACUCCUACCAAAGAUAAGGGGUUCUGGAGGGCACAGGCUUUGGUGAAGACAGGCUGGGGUCACUUCUGCAGAACCACCAGUCCCCAUGGUAUUACCAAACACCCUUAAGGUCAGGGACUUAAGUUUGAAUA
Molecule: long non-coding RNA, 3128 nt
Organism: Hipposideros armiger (great roundleaf bat)
Lineage: Eukaryota; Metazoa; Chordata; Mammalia; Chiroptera; Hipposideridae
Exons: 3
Source: RefSeq, a predicted model, not a curated record